UAUCCUAGAUUGCUUUCAAGGUCAUUUCUUUAGGGAACCCCAUUCCCAUAAAUUCAGUAUCCAAAGCUGGUUGUUGUAUCUAUGGGAAAGGGUUCCCUAACGAAAUGAUCUUGGACGCAAUCUAGGAGUU
RNAcentral lists this microRNA precursor (130 nucleotides) under Oryza sativa (Asian cultivated rice). Its description in RNAcentral is "miR1882c stem-loop (osa-MIR1882c)". It matches the Rfam family "MIR1882 microRNA precursor family". Lineage: Eukaryota; Viridiplantae; Streptophyta; Magnoliopsida; Poales; Poaceae. The record is from miRBase by way of RNAcentral.